AGUCGAGGGGUAUAGGUUUUCGGACCUAGAGACCGGCGCACGGGUGCGUAACGCGUAUGCAAUCUACCUUUCACAGAGGGAUAGCCCAGAGAAAUUUGGAUUAAUACCUCAUAGUAUAACACAACCGCAUGGUUGAGUUAUUAAAGUCACAACGGUGAAAGAUGAGCAUGCGUCCCAUUAGCUUGUUGGUAAGGUAACGGCUUACCAAGGCAACGAUGGGUAGGGGUCCUGAGAGGGAGAUCCCCCACACUGGUACUGAGACACGGACCAGACUCCUACGGGAGGCAGCAGUGAGGAAUAUUGGACAAUGGGCGCAAGCCUGAUCCAGCCAUGCCGCGUGCAGGAUGACGGUCCUAUGGAUUGUAAACUGCUUUUGCACAGGAAGAAACACUCGGACGUGUCCGAGCUUGACGGUACUGUGAGAAUAAGGAUCGGCUAACUCCGUGCCAGCAGCCGCGGUAAUACGGAGGAUCCAAGCGUUAUCCGGAAUCAUUGGGUUUAAAGGGUCCGUAGGCGGUUUGGUAAGUCAGUGGUGAAAGCCCAUCGCUCAACGGUGGAACGGCCAUUGAUACUGCUAGACUUGAAUUAUUAGGAAGUAACUAGAAUAUGUAGUGUAGCGGUGAAAUGCUUAGAGAUUACAUGGAAUACCAAUUGCGAAGGCAGGUUACUACUAAUGGAUUGACGCUGAUGGACGAAAGCGUGGGUAGCGAACAGGAUUAGAUACCCUGGUAGUCCACGCCGUAAACGAUGGAUACUAGCUGUUGGGAGCAAUCUCAGUGGCUAAGCGAAAGUGAUAAGUAUCCCACCUGGGGAGUACGUUCGCA
RNAcentral lists this ribosomal RNA (824 nucleotides) under uncultured Bacteroidota bacterium. Its description in RNAcentral is "bacterial SSU rRNA". It matches the Rfam family "Bacterial small subunit ribosomal RNA", at positions 60 to 890 of the family's 1533-position model. Lineage: Bacteria; Pseudomonadati; Bacteroidota. The record is from RNAcentral.